Small nuclear RNA from Gorilla gorilla gorilla (western lowland gorilla), 190 nucleotides. Its record names the gene U2. It matches the Rfam family "U2 spliceosomal RNA". From Rfam's summary of the family: U2 is a small nuclear RNA (snRNA) component of the spliceosome (involved in pre-mRNA splicing). Complementary binding between U2 snRNA (in an area lying towards the 5' end but 3' to hairpin I) and the branchpoint sequence (BPS) of the intron results the bulging out of an unpaired adenosine, on the BPS, which initiates a nucleophilic attack at the intronic 5' splice site, thus starting the first of two transesterification reactions that mediate splicing. The record is from Ensembl. Lineage: Eukaryota; Metazoa; Chordata; Mammalia; Primates; Hominidae.
AUCGCUUCUCGGCCUUUUGGCUAAGAUCAAGUGUAGUAUCUGUUCUUAUCAGUUAAUAUCUGAUAUGUCCUUUAUCCGAGGACAAUAUAUUAAAUGGAGUUUUGGAGCAGGGACAUGGACUAGGAGCUUGCUCUGUCCACUGCAUGCAUCAACUUGGUAUUGCUGUACCCCUAGGAAUGGCGCACCCCUC